RNAcentral lists this ribosomal RNA (437 nucleotides) under uncultured bacterium. Its description in RNAcentral is "bacterial SSU rRNA". It matches the Rfam family "Bacterial small subunit ribosomal RNA", at positions 28 to 447 of the family's 1533-position model. The record is from RNAcentral.
GAUGAACGCUGGCGGCGUGCUUAACACAUGCAAGUCGAACGGAGAACCGUUAUUGAGAUCUUCGGAUGGAUUUAACGAUUCUUAGUGGCGGACGGGUGAGUAACGCGUGGAUAACCUGGCCCAUACAGGGGGAUAGCAGUUGGAAACGACUGAUAAUACCGCAUAAGCGCACGGUACCGCAUGGUACAGUGUGAAAAGUUCCGGCGGUAUGGGAUGGAUCCGCGUCUGAUUAGGCAGUUGGCGGGGUAACGGCCCACCAAACCGACGAUCAGUAGCCGGCCUGAGAGGGUGAACGGCCACAUUGGGACUGAGACACGGCCCAAACUCCUACGGGAGGCAGCAGUGGGGAAUAUUGCACAAUGGGGGAAACCCUGAUGCAGCGACGCCGCGUGAGCGAAGAAGUAAUCUCGGUAUGUAAAGCUCUAUCAGCAGGGAAG